CUUGCAAGAUGGCGCUGGGAGGAAGGCUGUGAGAUGAGGAACAGGCUGGUAUAGCCCGAGAGCCGAAGGGGAAGGGGGAGCAAAGCGGCUGCUACCGAUGCAAUAAUAAUAAAAAAAGAAAUGACGAGCACCCACAACUCACAUUGAAGUCAACAUCUUUGGGUCAAGUAUGCCCUCAAUCACAGCCUUGCAAUCUCGGUGACUUCAGAGGGACUGUUUACCCAUCUGUCAAACGGGUAUAAUAUUUAUAGCUGCGCUCAAGCGUCCCUGCUGGUUCUUCAUUCAGCAUCUGUGCAGCCACGUUCUAUUGAUGGCCUGUUGUGAUUUCAAUGGAACAUCAUGGGAUGUACCUGGCACGUCAGGCAGCACUGGAUGGAGGUGCCCUUAGUCCAAUGUACCUGGCAUGGUAAGCGGCAACAAAGUGGUUAAC
This 430-nucleotide long non-coding RNA is filed under the name Chrysemys picta bellii (western painted turtle). RNAcentral's name for it is "lncRNA (ENSCPBG00000010467.1)". The record is from RNAcentral. Lineage: Eukaryota; Metazoa; Chordata; Testudines; Emydidae.